UACAGAGGGUGCAAGCGUUAAUCGGAAUCACUGGGCGUAAAGAGUGCGUAGGUGGUUAGAAAAGUUGAGUGUGAAAUCCCCGGGCUCAACCUGGGAAUUGCGCUCAAAACUGUCUAGCUAGAGUAUGGUAGGGGGAAGUGGAAUUUCCGGUGUAGCGGUGAAAUGCGUAGAUAUCGGAAGGAACAUCAGUGGCGAAGGCGACUUCCUGGACUAAUACUGACACUGAGGCACGAAAGCGUGGGGAGCAAACAGG
This 253-nucleotide ribosomal RNA is filed under the name uncultured bacterium. Its description in RNAcentral is "partial 16S ribosomal RNA". It matches the Rfam family "Bacterial small subunit ribosomal RNA", at positions 524 to 776 of the family's 1533-position model. The record is from RNAcentral.